GCCUGCCCAGUGAAAAUUUAACGGCCGCGGUACCCUAACCGUGCAAAGGUAGCAUAAUCAUUUGUCUAUUAAUUGUAGACCAGUAUGAAAGGCAAAAUGAGAGCCCAACUGUCUCUUAUAAUAAAUCAAUUAAACUGAUCUCCUAGUACAAAAGCUAGAAUAAUAACAUAAGACCAGAAGACCCUGUGAAGCUUUAACUAACCUAUUAAACCCAAUAAUAGCUAUUUUCGGUUGGGGCGACCUUGGAAUAAAAAAGAACUUCCAAUAUAUGACUUACUCAUAAAACAGGCAAACAAGCCGACACUAGACCCAGCACAGCUGAUAAUUGAAACAAGUUACUCCAGGGAUAACAGCGCUAUCUUCUUCAAGAGCCCAUAUCAAAAAGAAGGUUUACGACCUCGAUGUUGGAUCAGGACACCCCAGUAAUGCAACCGUUACUAAAGGUUCGUUUGUUCAACGAUUAAUAGUCCUACGUGAUCU
This 480-nucleotide ribosomal RNA is filed under the name Crotalus willardi. RNAcentral describes it as "partial 16S ribosomal RNA". It matches the Rfam family "Bacterial large subunit ribosomal RNA", at positions 1857 to 2606 of the family's 2925-position model. Lineage: Eukaryota; Metazoa; Chordata; Lepidosauria; Squamata; Viperidae. The record is from RNAcentral.